UUUUUUUUUGUGUGUUUGUUUUAUGUGCAUCGAGUUACCCUGAAAGGCUACACAACAUUCGCGAGAUUCAACAAGGACAUGGACCCUCGAGCUAGUUUGACACUCUAUUCUAUGGAAGUUCGGUAACCUCAUAUCUUUUUCGGGAACACAUUGGGGAUAAUGUGUGGUCUAGGUGUAGGGGGAUGCACAUAGUUUUAUGCAUUUUAUUUGUUUUUGCUUUUAUGUUAUUUUGUGUGUUUAUUUUUAUUUUUUUGCCUUUUUCAAAAAUACAAAAAAUAUUUUUCAUUUUUAUUUAGUGCCAUUGCAUGGUGCUUGGACUACAAUUAGGUAAUAAGUCAUUAGUUGUAAAUAAUGAAUAAGUACAUAAAAUUACUGAACUUAUAAAUUUCGAAUGAUACUAGAUAAUUUUCUAUUCUUAAUUGUAGACUAAUCAGUUCAAUUAGUUAAUGUGUAUAAUAGGGUAGAGACAAUAACCUAAAUGAAAAUGUAUAAAGUGUACCAUAGGAUAAAUAAAGUAUACGAACCCUUGUAGAUAAAUAUUUUGAAUUGUUAAUUGUUCGUUUAAAUAAAUGUAUGCUUGAAAGAAUUGGUGUUAUGUGAGUGAUUCAGGAAAGACCUUAGGCAUUGUUUGAAAUAACCUAGAGCCUAAAAGAUUACCUGUUACUAUAUACCACUAGUUCCCAUAUCUUUGAGCCUCGAGUAACCUUUUCUUGUAAGCCCUAAAAUCAAAGCCUCAAGCCUAAAUGAGUCUAGUACUUGAUCCUUCUUGGUCUCGUUCUUUAAAAUACACUAUGUAAUGGAUGUUGGGCCAUGAACAUUGAGGACUAGGUAGAAACAUUACGGUGCCUUUGUGUGUGAAGAAAAAAAAAGAAAAUAAAGGGAUUACAUGAGUUAGUACGUACUAAUCUCACAUAAUACCUUGUAACAUUUUGGAGAAAUAAGGUAGGCGAGAGAAAGAGAAAUAAUGAGGUGAGCUUGUAAAUAAUUUAGGGACGAGUAUGGAACAAUGGCAUGUGUUUAACAAUUCUAGUGCUUGAACCCGUAUUAGGUAUCUAUUUUUUGAAUUCCAAACCGUCCUAAGCCUCAGAAUGCUAGAAGCCUAAAAGACUUUUGGGACCCAAAUAAGUCACCAACACAAUAAUUCGUAAAUAGCUUGCAUUUAUUUCAAUGAACAUGACCAAUUCUUUUUAAAUAUUUAUGAGCGAUCCCAAUAAUUUAUUUUGAUGCAUAACAAUUGUACAUACAUUCAUUUCCAUUGCCUCUAUAUCUAUUAACAUUUUAACUUAGUGACUUGAUUAUGUUUGCAUUAGGAAUAAACAAGUUAGCUAGAUAUCACUCUUAAGUUGCAUGUGAAGUAGUUUUUAUAUGAGUUUGAUGUUUUACCGCUAUGUGACUUAAUUGUUUGAUUUAGUCCAAGAGUUGUCUUUCCUUUUGCAUGUUUGGUGUGUUUGCUUGAGGACAAGCAAAGAGUUAAGUGUGAGGGAGUUUGAUUUUCCAUAAUUUGAUAUGACAAAUUAGGCUUUCGUGGUAUACUUAAGGAUCUUAUCCUCGAGAAAAGUAGCAUCUUUUGCAUAGUUUUUCAUAAUUUUUAGAUUUUAAGUUAUAAGUGAAAAUGUCUCUUUUUGCUAAUUUUGUGACCUAAUUUGGCCAAUUGUUCCAUUGGGGGUCCAACAUGUGGAUGACCGGUGUAGGGACAUGUUGGAGGUUGAAAACGAGAGAGAAUGGCACCAAAGGAAAAUGUAUCAUAAUAUCCACACAUUGGGAUCUCGAUACCUCUAACAAUAUGGAAGAUUGGAGACCACCUUUCAGUGGUAUCGCAAUAUCCACCCUUCCAAGAAGACCCUAAGUCUCGAAACUACCCGAGAUAUUAUAAUACCCUCUUUUGGAUAUUGCGACACUGGCAUCGUGAAGGGAUAAAAUUUGACAGAAAUGAUAGUUUUUGUCCACUCAAUCCACCAAUCACUCAAGGCCUAUGUAGGGGCAAUUUUGGAAAUAAAAUUCCAUUAGAUUGUAGCCUAAAAUAGCCAAAUUUGGCUAAUGAGGAGAGACACACACAUUAGUUUAGUUUUAGCCCUAGUUUUCUCUAGGUUUUUCUUAGUUUUUAUGCACUUUUUCUAAGGUUUAUAUUUUCUCUUCUUCCUUCUUAGUUUUAGAGUUUAUUUUUCUAAAAUUACUUCUUUGUUGUUGAUGUUCUUAGUGUUAGUUAAGUUAGUUAUCACUGUAGCUUAGGUUUAUUUACACUUUCUAUCCCUGUACCUUGGUUGUAAGACAUCUUUAGCUUUAGUUUAAUGUAUUUCAAUUUCUUUUACUUUCAAUCAAUUAAAGCUUGUUCCUUGUAUGUUUAUUGCUUUAUAUUUUCUUGUUAAAUGCUUUUAGUUUCAUGUUCUUGAAGAUUUCUUUAAUAAAAAUCUAAACUUCUAUAUUUUUAACUUUAAUGGUUUAUUUACUUUUCAUUUUCAUGUUCAUUCUCUUUAUUUUUAGCAUGAAUAGCUAAAUCUAAAAGGGGGUUGGCUGAUGGAGAUGUGGGUAAGCUGAUUUCUAGAUAAAGGACUAAGUUGUAAUAAAUUUAACUAAAUCGAAAACACCUAAAAACUUAGAAAGUGACCCCCCUAAGGGAACAUCUAGGCAAGUUAGGCUGAGAGGUAAUCUUGUUAUGCACCCGUUCAUUAGUCCCAGAUUAAUCAGUGAGAUCGAAAGGUAAAUGAAUUAAUUCGUCUAAGUUAGUAAAAUUGAGAUCAAAAGAUCAAAUAGAGCCACUUAGUAAUUUAAGUCCCUAGUUCGAGGACCAGUGAACCAUACCAAAAUCAACCAACCACCGUUAUUCAUUUAUUUGGUUAAUUUCUUUGUUUUAUACUCUUUGCAAUUUAGUCCCUAGAUUAACAUAUUUCAUUUUCUUGCAAAAUUUCUUUGUUAUGAUUUAGCUUACUAUAAAAUCGUAUUAGUAGUCAAUCUCUUUUAUCGCACAAUAUACUCUAUCGUGUAUGCUAUUUAUCGCUCAAUCGCCAUCUCUUUUGGAUUCAAUCCUUUGAAAACUCCGGUGUCCCAUUGUAACACUACAAAUUUUACAAUUGACCUAUACAUUUGUAGUAAAGCCACGCUUAUAAACUCAUUUUAUAAAAUCAUUUGUUUUAUGCACACAUGCGAAUGAGGUCACUUGCUUUGAUACAAAUUUUGCACUAUUAAAAUCGAGCGAUUUGAUGGAUGAAAAUUGGGAUCUAUUUUGACGAUUAGGCAUAACAAAAUUUAAUAAUGACCGUUUCAAAAAAAAAGCAUACAAUGUAUCAAGACAAAUGAUGGGAAACUUGAACUCUUUGUUAAUGCUGAAGGAGAAUACCUUUUUUUCUAUGCUUCUUGCUUACUUGAGAGACCCCAAAGUAGAAGGAAGAGGAACUUGCCAAUAUAAGGAGAGAACAAACAAAAUCUACACAAUAAAGUAAACUAGUGAGUUAAAUGUAGCAAACAAUUAAUAGAAAAGUGUAAAAGGAGUGAGGGAAGAAGAAUGGAGAAAAUUUUAGGGAUUUUUAGAGUAUUCUUGAGUAUUUAGGGGUUAAAAUAGGGCUAAACACGUGGUUCAUGAUGUCAAAAAUGAGUAUUUUUCUCGACCUGACUCAAAUAUUAUGAUACUCAAGAGUGGAUAUCGCGAUAUCCCCUAUUUUUGGACCUUCAACCAUUUCAGUACUACUCGAGGUAUUGUGAUUUCAAAAGUCCAAUAUCACGAUACUACUGUGGAUGAACCAAAUUUUUUAUUUUUGAAAUUUCACGGAUAUCACGAUAUCAAGGGUCUGAUAUCCAGAUACCUAAAAAUUUUUGGUCCCUCAAUUGAAUCUGUUGAAGAAAUCACGAUAUCCCUCACUUGGUAUUACGAUUUCACUGUGGCACACCCCCAAGAAAUCCCAAAAUUAUCUCAAAACUUCCUCGAAUUCUACAAUUAUCCUCAAGGUUCAAAAAAUUAAUCGGGCAACUAGUUACAUUCAAAAUAAACAAAAGAAAUAAUAGCAAAUUGAAAUUCAAAUUACUCAACUACAUAUUUGCACAAUGUUAGAUUAAAAAUCCACAAUAAAAAUCUAUAAGAUAGUGCUAAACCUCAGUGAGAGCUUGAAGCAUCUUGUAACACCCUUUAGCUUGUCAGGAAGACCUGGCAUAAAUUGAACAGCUAAAUCAACCGCCUGACAGACCGGGGCAUUACUAACAAAUUCAAAUCCUUUGACUUGCUUUUAAACUUUGAGAAAGCAGUUAUAAGGAUUCCCCUUUUACGUUUAAAUCAUUAUUCUUUGCUCAAUUUUUAUUUCAUCUUUAAGGAGAGUAAUAGGAAUUAAUAAUCUACCCAUCAAUCAAGCUCCGCCAUUAAUAAUGAAUACACUUAGGAAAAGAUAGUUUUGGAAACUACAAAUCAAGGGAGUUUGGCGAUCACAAUUAUAGCCAAGGAAAAUUACAUUUUAUAAGACAAAACAAUACAUUUGCGAAGUAAAAGAAAAAGUUAAAAACAAAACGUAUGUAUACGCCUUUUGUCGAACAUCCAUACAUGAUACAAAAUAGUCAAGUGGCUCAUUUGCAAACGCAGCUCUGACUUAGUCCCCUUCUAUUAAUUCUUCUUCUACUAAUCAAUGUCCUAAAAAGGAAAAGUAAUGGAGUAAGUUCAUUUAAACUUAGUGAGAUCCCAAAAGACACAACAUGUUUAUCAGAUUAUCCCUGAUCGACUCAAUGAUAAAGACAUUUUUUGAGACUAUGCCCUACAGUAACAUUACGCCAAAUCUGCCAGUACAGUUUACUGGCGCACACAUCACAAUUAUAUCACAUAGAAUCCUUAGUGGGCACAUACCAAUAAUUCAUGCACACUUCUCUCAAUCAUGUAUGUUUACCUGUGACUCAACCUUGUGCCAACCUCAUACCCAUGCUUCAGAAAUCAGAAUCGCAUAUUAUUCAUAAUCAUAUAUCAUUAUUUAUACUCUUUGUCAAAUGAACACAUGUUCUCUCACAAGGUUGGGUCUUGAACUACCAGUUUGGUUUGGAAUAAAGCUGCCCUACCGGAGGCAUCACAAAUAAAGCUUCUUUCCACAUUUUCAAAUAUUGCAAGUAGUAUGGUACUGGGCUCACACACAAGGUGGGUAUUAACCGUGACCAUGGCCAUGUACACACACAAUACUAACUCGUUAAUACACAGCACAUCGACAUAUAUUUAGCAUCGACAACUUACCUUAUACGACUCCAUAUCAUAGAGUUUUAAAACCCAAAGGAAGCAUAAAAGAACUCACCAAAACCUUCAAGAUAGAAUCUACUUUAUUGGUCCUUUGCCUCGACCACUCAGACCUUAUCUAGCUUCUUGAGCUAAAUAAGAAACAAUCAUAAUUAUCAAACCAUUUAUCUACUAUAUAUUGAUCAUGCAUGUACUAAUGCAAAGACGUAAAUUCCCUCGACAUAAACCUAAGGUUUUUUAGAAAUCACCAGUCAGUUAGCACUUAUCAAUGGCAUUUUGACAAGCUCCUGGAAAUCUUCCUCGUCUCAUCUAUAGAAGAUAACUUAAAAAGAAAUUUCUUAAGGACGUUGGAGAGAACACAGAGAGAAAGUAAAAGUGAAACAUGUUAGCUAUAGCCACCCUUUUUAUAGCAUAGACAAUGAAAAUAAGCUUAGUGGAAAGGUCAAAAACCCCAAUAUUGUCCUUGAAUUCAAAGACUAAGCUUUCAUAAUAAGGUUUAAAAUCUAAUCUUUUACCAAACACAGAUACUACCACUAGUUAGGGUGGUAAAACAUUGCUUGUAAACUAAAGAGACCAACUAAACAGGUCAUUCAAUUACCUAAACAUAUCAAAUUGUCAUCUAGAAUGCUCUAGUUCAAUUCCAACUAGGUAUCAACUGAACUUUAACGAUGCUCACCGAGCUAUCUUUUCCACAUAAAACAACUCUAUCGCACCGCAAAUUAACAAGUUCACCCAGAACAUCUAGGGUUGGCAGAUUGUGUCAUAAAAGAGUCCACCAAUCCCUAGAGUUCGCCAACCUUAGAGUUUGCCAAAUGGUGAAUUCCAGCAAGGUGCCUCUCACAAGGGCGUACUGAUAAAUUCACGCAACACGUCAUCCCAACACUUUAACAAAAAAUUCAACCCAUUACUACUCUGGCUUACUCAAUUAUACGCCAACAUAUCGAUAUGAUCUACGUCGGACGAGCUAUUACACAUCUCUUUAGGGUCCUCAUUUUCAACUGUUGGUUCGUCUCAUUUUCAACUGUUGGUUCGUCCAUGUUGUCAAUGUCAGAUUCAUGCGCAAGGUAGUGAACUUCUUUAAAUGUAUUCGGCAUCCUUCCAAAAUAUAAUUUCAAUCGGUGCCCGUUCACCAAGAAUGAUUGACCAUCCUGAGUUAUUAAUUUAAUAGCUCUGUUAAUUAACACUCGAUUGACUGUGUAUGGUCUUGACCAUCGUGAUUUCAGUUUACCAGGAAACAAUUUCAAACGGGAAUCGAAUAGCAAAACUUGUUAACCCGGUACGAAGCUAUUGCGUCUAAUCAUAGCGUCAUGGCGGAGUUUGCUUUUUUCUUUUUACAACUUACAACUUCGCAUUUUCAUAUGCCAAAAAUCAAAACUCCUCUAACUCAUGCAAUUGAAAAAAAACAAGCUUCAUUUGCCAAGUCCAGAUCCAGAUUCAAUUCUUUGAUAGCCCACUACACUCCUUUUUUCAACUCAAUAGGUAUCAACCUACAAACGUGUUAUCACUUAUAAUAAAAAUAGCAGACCAAAAAUGUAAGAAAUUAAAUCAGUGGUGUCUGCAAGUAGGGGUGAGUGUUCGAUCGAAUCAAUCGAAUGAAAAAAUUUCGAGUCAAUUGAGUUGACAAAUCCUAUUUUAUCAUCCUAACGUGCUUUGAAAUUUUCUUAAAUCGAGUCGAGUGAGAUGGAAUUCGAAUCGAAUCGAAUAUAUCUUUUCGAGUUAAAUUUAAAAAAAAUGACUUUGGGACCUUGUAGCCACUAUCACCCAUCAUAAUCAAAUUUGUUAUUAACUUUCAUCCCCUCAUAAUUUAUUUAUUAAUCUUUUAUAUACAAGUUAGCUUCUUUGUUUUCUUAAUUGCUUCAAUUAUCUUCUCAUUCUUGUCACUAUAUAUUUUGAAAUUAAAAAAUAUAUUAAAUGAAAAAAUAUGAUUUUUUAAUAAAAAUUAUCUUAAAGAUAAAAUGUGAAAUUGAUACCAACAUAAAAUUUUAAUACGAAUAUUUUAUGGCAUCAUCAAUAAUUCAAUUUUCACAUAAAUUUAUAAAGAUUUAAUAUGAUUAAACAAUUCAAUAAUAUAAAUAGUACAAAAUGUGAAAUUUAAUUUAAUAAUAUAAAUAGUAGAUAUAAAUAAAAUUAUUACUAUUUAGGUUCAAGGAUUUUUUUUGGAUAAUUUUUUAUUUGGAGGUAAAUGGUGAUAAGUAAAAGUUUAGGGGGGGAAAUAAAAAGUUUUGAGGGUUGGGGGAGUAAAAUUUUGGGAGGAAAGUAAAUGGGGGGUAAAUUUUUGGGGGGAAAAUAUUAAAAAAAAUUGGGGGGGGGGGGGUAAUGGGUUUGGGAUAGAGAGGGUGGGAUGAGAGUAAAAGUUUUGGGGUGAAAGUAAAAAGGUUUGGGGGUUUGGGGUAAAAAUGUAAAAUAUUAUACUUUUGUAUUCGGUUUAUUCGAAUUAUUUGAGUUACUAGAAUUCAAAAACUAAACUCGAUUUGAUACUAAAAUUUGAAAAAAAAAUCAAGUUGACUCAAAUAACUUGAUUCGUUUAACUCAAAAUUCAAAAAAAAAUUGAUUUUUUCAAGUCGAAUCGAGUUUUGCUCACCCCUAUCCGCAAGCGUACAGGUCAAAAUGUAAUAUAGUAAAGUUUACAACGAAACACUAGUAAGUAUUUCGAGGAUCGUACCCAAGGGAUUGCAAAUUGGAGAAAUUAUAAUUAAAUUAAUUGCAAAAAAUAAUUACUAAUUUAAUCGAGUCACAAAUUAGUAGUGUGAAUCAAAAUUAAUAUUUUAAUUAAACUAAUUAAAUUAACUAACUUAAAUUACCCUAAUAGACUUUCCUAUUCCUAGUGUUGACAAUGCAAGUCUCUAGCAUAUGAUCGAUUAAAACCCUAAUUAUCUAAUUAAAUAAUUAAUUAUCCUAGAUUGAGUUAUUUAUCACCCUUAGCAAGAAUACCCUUCUAGUCUCAUUUACACUAAGGAUUACCACUUAAGUCACUAACCGUGUUCACACUUGCGAAUAAAACAAAUGAUUUUAUAAAACAAUUUUAAAGCGCGGUUUUAAGUGCAAGUGUAUAGUGCCAGUUGUAAUAUUUGUAGUUCCGAUGGAACACAGAGUGUUCCAAGGGGUCGAACCCAAAGGAUUGUCAAGUGGGUAUGUAUCGCCCCAAAAUUUUAAUUUUGGGUAUUGUGAAUAUGUGACACAAAAUAUUUGUCUGCUUUAAUGGUUAUGUGUUCUGGGUGUGUUUAGGAGGUCUCAAGUUCAAGCUAGAACUUGGGCAAAUUUUGGUAUUUUUUUUGAAUAAGCCCUAUCUUUGGUCAGUAGGCUUUUAAGUAAAAGUUGGCAAAUAAUUAACAGAAUGGGCAUGCUGGUUUGGUGGAUAAGUGGACUGUUGGUGUGAAGGAGGUUCUGUGUUCGAAUCUUGGUGUGGGCAUUAUUUUUGCUCGUAUGUCCAGGAGAGUUUGAGAUGUACUAAAAAUCUGAGUAGUGGAUUUAGUAGGGAGACUGAUGGAGAGAAAUAAGGGAUUGGGGUGGUUAUCAAAUAUUUUGUUCAUCUUUUUUUUUUCCUUUUUUUUACUUUCCCCAAAAUCCCUCCACCCUUUUGCCAUUUUUCUCUUCAUUGCUGCCGAAUUUCUGCUCUCUUUCACCCUUCAUCUUCUUGAUUUUUCUUUUCCCACUUUGCCUCGUGUCGUUCCACAUUUGUCUACGAUCAUUCGGUAAGUUUUAGAUAAGUGAUUUGUCUCUGUUUGUUAACUUCUUCUGAAGUGUUAUGUUUAUUCCAAUUAGGGGAGGAUUCAAGGGCUCGUAAUCACCAAUCGAAGUCUUAGUUUGUGUGGGAAUUAAUGUUCAUCGGUUGAAGGUAAGGUUUAGUCGCUUAUGGGUUAAAACAUCGAUACAAGUUCGAUUUGGGAUCACAUUAUGUAAGAUUAAAUUAGUGUUAUUUGUUCAAUUAUAGACUUUUGAGUGCUCGAAGACUGUUUUAGCAUCAAACAAAACCAGGUGUGUACCCAAAACGUAGAAAAUGGGAUUCAGCGAAAAGCCGAAAUUGCUUGCUAUUUGAACAGCAGCAGUACGCUAACUUUGAAAAAUCACCAUACAUUGUUAAAAUCAAAUUAGAGGAUGAAAAAAAUAUGAAAUUAAAUCUUAUUGAGUUUAGUUUCUCAUAGAAGAAAUGGUGUAAGUAAUGGAAUUGUAAAUCGUGAGAUAUAAUAAAUUUUGUGAGACAAUAUCAGAAUGAAUUCGGGUUCCCCUAUUCUGAUUUUAGAAAAUCAUCAAAAAUUGGAGAAAAAUAAUUAGGGGUUAAAAUUUACAUGUUUAAAUUUAAAUUAUUAACUAGUCUAUUUUCAAUAAAAACAACUGGAAACAUCAUCCAAAUUUUUUACUAAGAGAUAAUUAAUUUUUAGCAAAGAAAGGUCAAAACUGUCAGACAGUAGAACAAGGGUAAGAUUGAAGAUUUUAUUGUACUUAUUGGAUGAACCAAAAAUUCUGAAAAUAUUAUGGUAGAAAGAUAUUUUAGUCUAGUUUCAAACACAGCAAGCGGAUCUUAAUUUGGAAUUCUGUAGCUCAAGAUAUAAAUAAUUUAGUAACAGUGACUCAAGUUGACAGCUUUGAAGGAACAUAUAAGUAAAUGGUGAAAACAUAUAUGAAUAUUUAGCUAGCACAGGUUACAUUAAAUGGACCAAGUGGCCAAGGCCAAUUUGGGCCGAGUGGGCCACAUGGGUGUGUGGGCCCACACGGACAAACCACAUGGGCGUGUGAGCCUAUUUUCACUGAAUUGAUUGCUACCCAAGUCGACUAUGAACCUACUGUAGGGUCGGUAAGCAUCACUUAGACCCCUAAUUGUACGAACUGACUAUUUGAUUUAUAUAUGUGUUCAGCAUGAUGAUAGUAUGCUUGUAUACUGAACUGGUUAUAUGUAUUGAUGUCCUAAGAUAGCUUGUCAUGACUUGUAUGUUGCAUUACAUGGGGUUGGGUUAAUUAUAUUUAGAGGAAGUGUACUGAAAGGCUCUUAAGCCUAACAUACUGGCAGCUCAGGUGCAAAUUACUGUUUUGUGCCGCAUUUGAUACUAUCUGGAGUGUAGGGAUGGGUGGGUUGAUUUGAUCCCCACAUGGAGUGUAGGGUUGGACGGAGAUGGUGUGUAGAGGCUGGUUGGGUAGGACUUUGUUACUAAAUACUGCAUGACUGCUACUGAUACUGUGAUAUGCUAAGGCCCUACUGCAUAUUUGGUACUGUACUGAGAUGGGCUAAGGCCCAAACUGUUACUGAUACUGAAAAAAGGCUUAGGCCCAAGAUUGUUUUAUCUGUGCACUAUGAUUUGCUAUUGUUUUUUUUUUCUGUGGGAUUACACACUGAGUUUUCGUAAACUCACCCCUUUUGUUUAAAUGUGCACAGGUAAUCCCCAGAUCUAGACGGAUCAGUGCGGUGGAGGACUCGGCGAUGACCACGAUUUUGGCCUUUCAUGGUUUUUAACACAUAUUUUCGAUAAUUGGUUUUAUUUCUAUUCCAAUUUUACUGGCUAAGUUUUUGGGUUGUAAUUGAACUUUCGUACUUUGGUUUUGGGUUUUAAUUUUCUUUACCUUAUGGAUUACAACUGCUAAUAGUAGGAAACCUCAAUUUUUAAAGGAACAAAUGUUUUUCCUAAACGCCCGAUUGUUUAAUCUGUUUUAAAAGCUUUCGCAAGGGAAUAACGUUUUGAAACUAUCGAUUAAAUGAGCAACACAAUUUUGGAACUAAUAAGAUAUUAAGAUAAGGAAUUCAAUGGAAAUGGUUUUAAUGCGAUGACACGGUUUACAAACACCCUAUCAUGUGACAUCGCUAGAUCCGGCCAUAACGUCUCGGUCGGGUUUGGGGUGUAACAGGGUAAAUGCUUAUCAACUUAAUUACAAAUUAAGAAAUUACUAUUCUAAUCAAGUUGGAUAUUUUUAGUGCAACUCCAAAUAAAAUGAUUUAUAAACUAAAAUCAAACUAUUAACUAAACUAACUAAGCUAAACUUUCUUCCUAAUGUUUUAGAUACUGUAAAUGAUUAAAUGAUGGUCAAUUGAUUAGUUGAGUGCUAAUUAAACUAAUAAACCUACAUCGAUUACAUUGGUUGCCACUCUUAGUUAGGAAUCUCCUCUUGGUCUUAUCCUAGACUGAAAGAUACCACCUAAGAUUACCUCUCGGUCUCACUACUCGGCACGAUUAUUUCGAACUAUCUAAGGAUAAACUCUCCUCUCUGUCUUGUUUAUCUAGGUUUUCUGCUAGAGGCGUCAAUUUUAACAUAUUAAGUAUUUUGAUAUAAUCGAGCAAUCAAUCAAUCAAGAAUAGACAUUAAAUUAAGCUAACAAACAACCAAAUCCAACCAUCCAACAAUUAGCACAUGAUAAAGCUUAACAUCUAAACAAACAUUUCAUCGAACAAUUAAUAAGCACAAUAUAGAGAUAAGGAUAAGAUAUGUUCAUUUAGAUAUGUAACAAAUGGCACCCAAAAGCUUCAUCCAUCUUCAUUUACAAAGUCCUUUACAAGAAAGAAGAAAGAAAACUACAAGAAUAAAAUCUACUCUAAAAAAAAACAGAAAACCUAAACUAAAAAAUGAUUAAAAAAAACCUAACCUAAAAACUAUAAACCCUAAAGAAACUAUAUAGCCACCAAAAAUAUAAAUUUAAAGGCUUAUAAAUUUGUAUUUAUAGCCUACUAAAAUUUGACCUAACAAUGACCAUUUUGCCCUUCAGUUAAAAGAAGACAUAAGCUUAUUUGGACACAAAAUUGCCCUUACAACUUUUUCACUUGUUAGGUAGUGAUAUCACGGUACCGAGGCUUAGGUGUUGUGAUACCCAAAACAGUCUUGAGAUUGAGAGUCUUGGGGGUCUUAGUAUCGUGAUACCGAUGGUCUUAUAUCGUGAUACCACUAUACAUGGCCUCUAUUCAUCUAAUUUUAGCACUGUCAAAGGUAUUACGACUUUCAUGCUUCAAUAUCGUGAAACACCAUUCUAAGUGAUUUUUUCUUCAUGUUCAGGCCACUGUCGACUCCCUACAACACUCAAUCAACUUGUUAAGUUCCCCAUGGCACGAUUGGUCAAUUUGGAUCUCAAAAAUGGCUUAAAACUAAUAAAAAAUUUAUUAACAAAACUAAAAAUCGACAAAAACAUAUAAAAGACACUUAAAUUGCUUGAAAAUAAGCUCCUUAAGUGCAAUGGAGAGCCUAAUUUGACAUAUCAAAUUCUGGAAAAUCAGUCACCCUUUCGAUCUCUUCCUAGGCAUACAAAUACCCUCCCGGUCUCACCGCUUGGUACAAGUUAUGCAUGACAGGAUACCUUUUUAGUUUCACCUAUCUAGAUAUUCUAUUAGGGUCGUCAGUCCCUAAUAUACUAAGUACUCUUGAAAAAACAACCAAUUUCAGAUAAAUAAUUACUUAACAGAUAAAUUAGUUUAGUAAUUGAAUCACGCGAGAUAUGAAAUAAGCACAAUAAUUUAUUCAAUUAUUCAUACAAACGCUAAUUGAUAAGGUUGAUAAAAAUAUAAAUAAAAUAACAAGAUAUAUGAGAAAGCUCAUGAAUAUAUAUUGAAGCGCGGUUUCAGAGCAAUCUCUGCUCACAAUUGUCUUCACAUUAGAAUAGAAAAGUUCUAACUAAACAAGCAUGAAAAUAAAAUACAAAGAAAACUAGAUAGGGAAAAUAGUAUAUCUAAAAUUGUACACAAUUCUGGUGACCCUAAGGUUGCUUGUAUAGGGAACGGUCUACUUCGUGAUCACUAAACCCUAGAUACACUUAGAUACCAAUUAAUGCAAAAUUCUAAUAAAUUCAAGGGUCCAAAUAUGGAUGUAACACCUUAUACUCAACCUGGUCGUCAAGCUCAAAUAUCAGGAUGUCACACCACCGUCUCAUAUCAUAUUCACAAUAAAUAGCCACAUUAUUAUGAAAUCAUGCUCUUUAUCAGUUAUCUUAUAAAUUUUUAGUCAAACAUAUAACAACCAUCAUUAAAACAUGUCAAACAUACUUUAAAUAAACUUAUAGUAAUAAUUAAACAAGUCUUAGGGUCACCUAGCAAAAUUUCCAAGACAAUCCCGUAGGUAUCAAUACUAGAACAUUGGUAUCAAUAUUUUCUUGGCAUGGUAUUGAUACCAUUUGCAAAAUUGGUACCAAAUCAGUAUUUUAUUUCUCGUCUAAAAUCAAAGUCUCAAAAAAUAUCGGUACCUUUGCAAAAGUAUCGAUAACAUUACCCCAAGUAUUGAUACUCUUGGUAUCAAUACCAAUUUAUGAUUCUAACUUCCUGCAUAUUUCAAAAUCACAGAGGUAUCGUUUUUACAACAUGAAUAUCAAUAACCCUUCAUAAAAACGAUAUCUCUACUCCAGACCAGAAAAAUACAACAUUUUAAAGAAUAUAAGUGAUUCCAACAUGUAUCAAUUCAUCCUACUAUCAUAUUAUCAUCAAAUAAACAUCAAAACGACCAUAAUAGUAGUCUUAACAUCGAAAAUAAGUCCAAAUGAUAAUCGGCAUAGUAUGACUCAAUUCUCAAAAUCCUAAGAGCAAUUAAGCUAUGGAACUUCCAAAACAACAUUUCAGAUAUCAUUAAAAGUCUACCACAUUGCCUUAUUCUUAAAACGAAAACAAAUAAUGAUAACACCUACGAAAACACGAAAAUAGACUUGCUUAGAUCACCCCUCGGAACCACACCGCUCACACCAGCACUUAACUACUCUACAAGGGUUUAAAAUGAGUGGGUGAGCUUAACAAGCUCAGUGAAUGCCUAGAACUACUAUCAUGCAAACAAUUCAUCAAACAUUAACAAAACAACCAUAUAGCACAACCUCAGUUGUUCCAACUCUAGUGUCAUAUUAUACUCACUCAUGCAUCAUUUACUAGUACAUUUACAUGGUAAUCACAUUCACUUUUAAGCAUAUAUCACAUUACACAUAUAAUAACAUAACAUUUAAGCAUAUAUCAUAAUACACAUAUGAUCACAUAACAUUCAAGCAUGUAUCACAAUACUCAUAUAAUCACAUAACAUUCAAGCAUAUAUCACAAUACUCAUAUAAUCACAUAACAUUCAAGCAUAUAUCACAAUACUCAAAAACAUGUUUAUAGACAAAUUGGCACUUCAGCUAUGAAACAUAAAAGUGAGUUUUAUCAUCACUCAUCGAAUACACGGAUCUCCAACCCACCACAUAGACUUAUAGAGUCAAACAUGUCCUAAAAGUGAAGCAUAAAGCUAACACUCUCCUUAUUUCCCCUCAGAUGUCCCACUGAGUGGAACUUAGCUCAUAUUCCCUUAUCCCUCUAACAUGUCUCAAGGCCUCAACGCCCAAAAUCACUGUACGAAUAGGUGAGUACUCACAAUCCUAUGGCAUGCUAACUAUAUCCAACUAUUUCGAGAUCACAAGGCCAAAAUAUAUGAAAUCAAACACAUAUCACUUACCGAUUAUCUGUGCACUAUCACUGCAUGUUUGCAUCUUUAGCAAAACACUGUCUCUAAUAUUUAACAUAUACAUAACAUGUACACAUUUUCACUUUCACAACGAUUAUCAUAACCACAUAUCACAUGUUAUAGCAUCUCAUCUCAAUUCACAUAUUCACAAACACAUAAGCACAUUAUUCACAAGAUAGCAUAGUUAUGAGAAAGCUUACAUUCAGAAUUUAGAGUAAGGGUUUACGAUACUACCAAAUUCCAAAAUAACGCAUUGAAUCAUGUCCAUAAGAAAUUAUUCCAAACACUCACCAAUUACGCUUUCACUGAAAAAGCCAAAAGCUCAAACUAGCUUUUCCUUGCCUUUAUAUCUACUCGUAGAAAGUCCUAUCGAUUCCAGCGCUACAACUAAGUAAAUCACACAACAACACAAUCAACAUUCAGCCAAAGACUUACAUCAAACAAUUCAAAAACACAAACCUAAACUAGGUUCUCUUUUGAUCGAAACCUUUAACAUAGGAAACUUAAAAUUUGAAUAUCUCGGUCUAUACUUAAUAUUUUUUCCUAAAAUUUAUUUCAUUCAUCUAUUUAUUCACCUACGAUUGAUUCUCAACCUUUAAACUACAUAAAACUACUCAAUUCAUGGUAUUAACUUUUUCGACAUGUUUUUUGCUAUUUUCUAAAAAAUUAUUAAAACAUUGGAAAUUCUUAAUGAAACUUCAAAGUAAAUUUAGAAACCUUCUAAUCAUGUUAAACCAAGUUGAAAAAUAGUUUGAAACCAUAUUUUUACUCAAAACCCUAAAAUCCACCAUUAACAAGCCAAUUUUUGGCUUUUAUUCAAAACAUGCAAUUUAACGGAAAAAAAAACUUAGUUUUAAAGACUAAAUAACAUGUAAAACUAUUUAGGAGUUGAACAGUUACCUUAAAUGGCAAAAAAUCAAGCUUUUGAUCGACAACCUGAAAAACUUAGAAGCUUGGCAAUGGAGGAAUCAAUGGUGAUUUUGGGUGUUUUUCUUGGUAUUUAAUGGAGGUUUAAGGCUUGAAUGUUGAUGGAAAUCAAGAGAUUGUAGUUUAGAAAUCAAAAAUUGAUUGGAAGAGCAAGAGGAAACAAGGGACAGCAUGUAAAAUCUUUGGAGAGAAAACUAUCGUGAAUAUGAAACUAUAAAUGGGGGUUUUUAGGUUGAAUUUAAAAAUUUGGUCUAAUUGCCUCUUAAAAGCUCUAAGUUUUUACUUUUUUACAAAUCAGUCCUAUUUUUAAAAUUAAAGGUAUUUAAAACUCAUUUUCAGAAAUUGAUUUAAUUUUCUAAAAACCAUAGUAAAAAAAUUACCGAUAAACCAUAUUGCAAAAUUUCGAACACUCUGAAGCUAAAAUCCCUAAAAUAGCCCUAAAACUCUUAGACCCUAUUUGGGGUGUUACAAUGGAAAUAUCCCAAAAGUGUCAUCCAAGGAAUCAACUUCAGUUUGGCCCGCCAUCAUCGCGUCGUCAUAACGUGGGAAUGCUCCUCGUCACGAUGUCGCCAUCGUGAAAUCCCUCUUAUAGUUGUCAUGACGAGAGGAAGCUCCUCAUCAUGACGUCAAGUGAAUUUCGAGCCUUGGAAGCUUCAUUGUGCUAUCAGGCUCCCUUGUCUCGAGGCUCGAUCAUCAUCCCUUGUAUUCUUAGACCUGAAUUGGAAUUCUACACACUUAAAUAACUCAUUAGUCACUCACAAGGCCUGUGUCAACCUUACGAGUCACCGAAAUAGAAAAAAAUGUAUAAUAACACUUAUUUUAUUAAUAUUUAGUUCCUAACUUAUUAAUAAGAGCUCAAGGUGUCUCGAAUCGUGAAAAAAUUUUCUUUUGGAGGAAUUUAAUAACAAAUUUCGUGACAUUUGUUGGAAGAGUAACAACCUCCACCCACUUUGACACGUAAUCCACUACUAGCAAGAUAUAUUGGUUCCCAAAAGAGUUCGGGAAUAGUCUCAUGAAGUCAAUCCCCCAUACAUCAAAAACUUUUGCUUCUAAGAUUCCUUUCUAAAGCAUUUCAUUGCAUUUGGAAAUAUUGCUCGUUCUUUGGCAUCGAUCACAUCAUUUCGCAAACUCAUAUGCAUCAUAUAUCAUAGUGGGCCAAUAAAAGCAAGAUUGAAGAAUUUUUCCAAUGAUUUUUUUGCCCUCGAAGUGUCCCCCACAAGGAGAAGUAUGUUAGCCGCUAAGAAUAUCCCCCAUUUAUUCUUCUACAACACACCUUCAGAUGAUUUGGUCAGCACACUCCCGAAACGCAUAAGGUUCCUCCCAAAUGUGUUCCCUAGCAUCAUGAGCAAUAUUUUUCUUCUGUUGACUAGAUGCUCCUACAAGGAAACUCUUUGUACCAAAUAAUUAACAAUAUUCGCGUACCAAGGCAUGGAUUCAACUUUGUCCUUUACAUGAUAACAUUGGGUGAUAGUUGCUCAUCUAUAAAAUAUUUGUUUAUGGUGCCAGUUUCCCCUUGUCCAUCUUUGAUCUCUAACAGCAAUAAGUGAUCAACCACUUGAUUUUUUGUUCCUUUUUUGUUCAAAACCUUCAGAUCAAAUUCUUGCAAAAGUAUAACCUAAUUCAUCUGUCAAGAUUUAGUAUCUUUCUUUUUCAUCACAUAUUUCAACGUCGAAUGAUUUGUAUAUACAUAAACCUGAUUAGCCAUCAAAUAUGAUCGAAACUUUUCACAAGCGAACACCACAGCUAACAUUUCCUUCUCAAUGGUUGUGUAACUACAUUGAGUAGAAUUCAGUGUUUUACUCGUGCAAUAGAUGACAUGAAAGAUCUCGUCUCUUUUCUGUCCUAUCAUUGCCCCGGCUGUGUAAUCACUAGCUCACAUAUGAUCACAAAGGGCUUAUUCCAAUUUGGACAUGUUAUGAUCGGAGCCGUAACUAGUUUCUGUUUCAGCACCUCGAAGGCUUCAUGGCAUGUUGUGCCAAAGACAAAAGGAAUAUCCUUCCGGAGGAGAUGAGUUAAAGGUUUAGCUAUUUGGGAGAAAUCCUUAAUGAAUCAUCAGUAAAAUUCCACAUGUCCAAGGAAAUUCCUAAUUUCGCAGACUGUCCUCUGAGAAGGGAGUUUUUCAAUAACCUCAAUCUUAGACUAGUCGACUUCCAACCCUUUCUUAGAAAUAUGGUGCCCCAAAAAAAUCCCUUCAUUGACCAUAAAAUAACACUUUUCUUAAUUCAAAACUAGAUAUGUGUCUUCACAUCCUUCUAGAACUCGUUCUAAAUUAGCUAGGCAAUUAGUGAAGGAAUCCUUGUACAUAGAAAAGUCAUCCAUGAACACAUCCAACCCGUCUUCUAUCAUGUCAGUGAAGAUUAUUAUCAUGUAAAACAUGAAGGUAGCUGGGGCAUUACACAACCCAAAGGGAAUUCUUCGAAAGGUAUAGGUCCCAAAGGGACAUGUGAUGUGGUCUUCUCCAUAUCAUCAGGGUGAAACGGGAUUUGAUGGUAUCCAAAGCAGCCAUCAAGAAAACAAUAGUACUCUUUCCUAGUAAAGGAAAGUGGUCCUUCCAAGUAGCAUCAUUGAGUUUCCUAAAGUCGAUGCAAACACGCCAUCCAGUUAUGGUGAGGGUCAGGACUAACUCAUUCCUUUCAUUAGGGACCGCAGUUAAACCACCCUUUUUUGGAACACACUGAGUAGAGCUAACCCACUCACUAUCGUAAAUCACAUAAAUAAAAUAGAAAUAUUGAAACUGUAUUACAUUUUCAACCCCGUUUUCGAUUAAUUUUCGUAGUAUUCUCUUGAAUCUCUCCCAAGUCUGCCCUAGAGUCUCUAUACUCCCCUGCUUGAGUUCGAAUAACUUCUCAUAAGUGGCUACCACUUCAGUCAUAGGACUAUUUCGCUUCAAGAACAAUUGCAGAAAUUCUUCCCACGAAGUAAUAGUAUCCGGGGGUAACAUAUCUAACCACUCCCUAGCUUUACCACCUAGGGCAAAAGGUAUUAACAAUAGUCAAAUCAUAUCCUUUGGAAUCCCAGCAUAGUUGACAGUGCUACAAACAUGCUCGAAUCUUCGAAGAAAAACCAUAUGAUUUUCCCCUUUAUUCACAUUAAAUUGAAGAUUUAUCAUAAUCCAUGUUAUCAAUGAUAGAUUAAUCUAAAAAUGUGGCACGUUAGCAUUAGGAGUCGUAAUAAUAGGUCGUAACCAAUUACGGUCGUACAACAUGGUACUUAGCAAUGACGCCAUGAUCAAUGAACAGUAGAUUCCUUACUCCGCAAGAAAGCUUAAAUUCCUAUAAUCAGUGAAAGAAUAAAUCAAGUACAAAAAUUUCAUUAUCCAGUUAACCAAAACAAUUAAUAUUUGAGGUUGUAUCUAUAACCUCGACUUUCGUCGAUUAUCUCUUUAAGUACACAUAAUGAAAAUAAAAAUAGUUCAAUCAAACGAUGAUUCCCUAGAAAUAGUGCCAAUAACUUAAUCGCCUCUCUCUUUCGAUCUCAUGAACGAUGGGAGAGAGUAGAAAAUCAACACUUAAGAAUUAAAAUGCAAUAUAAAAUUUACAGCUUUACUACAAAUUUGACAAGUCAAUUGUAAUAUUUGUAGUGUUACAAUGGAACACUGGAGUAUUACAAGGAUCAAACCUAAAAGAAUUGUGGGUUGAACAAUUUCUAAAUAAUGUGCGUGUAAAAUAAGAGUCUAACCAACUAAUCGUAAAAAUUUAUAUUACGAAAAAUCAUAAAAUCAAGAGAAAUUAAUAUGCUUUACUAUCUAACUAGCAAGAACUAAAUUGUAAAACAUGCAAAGUUACAAAAUUAACAAUUAAAUAACACACUGUGGUUGGUUGACAUUGAUGUGAUUCACUAAUCUUUGAAUUAGGGAUCCAAAUCGCUUAAACUCCCAAAAUGCCUUCAUUUUACCUCUCGAUCUCCAUUUUACCAAAUUAGACAAAUUAAUCCAGAUUAUCUCUCAAUCUCACCGGUUAACUUGGGAGUAAUGAAUUGGUGCUCAAUAAGAUCUCCUCUCGAUCUCAAUUUCCUAAAUGUUUCCUUAGGGUCCUUCAUCCAAAAAUCAACUCACCACAUCUCCAUCAACCAACCCCUUAAAAUUUUAGCUACUCAUGCUAGAAAUAAAACUAGCAACCAUGAAAAUCAAAAACAAAGAAGCCAUUACAGCAAAGCUUGAGAAAAAUAUAAAAGUUGGGAUUUUUAUGCAAGAAAAUUUUAAGGGCAUGUAAAAAGAAGCAUUUAACAAGAAAAUCUGAAGCAAUAAACAUAAAAUGAACAAAUUUUAAUAGAUGAAAAGUAAAAGAAACUGAAAUACAUCAAAUGAAAUCUAAAAACAUCUUACAACCAAGGUAUCAGGACUAAAAUUACAAAUAAACCUAAGCUAUAGUGAUAGCUAACUUAACUAACACUAAGAACAACUAAAACAAUAAGAAAAGUUGCUUGGAAAUGUAAAAUCUACAGCUAAGAAAAUGAAAAUAAGAAACCUUACAAAAAGAAGAAGAAAACCUAAGAGAAAACCGAAGGAAAACUAAGCCUAAACUAAGGUAAUGUUGCCUCUAUUUUUUCUCUCAGCCAAAUUUUGGUUGAUAUAACAGCUAUUUUGACCCAAUUUGUGUGCCCAAAAUACCCUUGAAUAGGCAUUCAUUGAUUGGUGCUUUGAAUGGACAAAGACUACCCUUUUUGUCCAAUUUUAUCCCCUCACGAUAUCAGUAUCACAAUACCAAGGAAGAGGAUAUCGCGAUACCUUAGACAGUUUCGAACUUUGGGGUCUUCUUGAAGGGUGGAUAUCGCGAUACCCAAAGUGGAUAUCGCGAUGCUACUGAAAGGUGGUCUCCAAUCUCGAGUCUGUUAAAGGUAUCACAAUUCCAAGGUUUGGAUAUUGCAAUACCCUCUCCUUUGGUGUCAUUCUCACCCGGUUUCAGCUUCCAACACGUCCCUACAUCACUCAACCAUACAUUAGGGCCCCAAAAUGGCAUUAUUGGCCAAUUUGGGUCUCAAAAUGAGUAAAAAAAAGGCAUUUACACUUAUUAACUUAAAAUCUAAAAAUUACAAAAAGCUACGAAAAAUACGUUACUUUGCUUGAGAAUAAACUCCUCAAGUAUACUGGGAAAACUUAAAUUAUCAUAUCAAAUUACGACAAAUCACAUGCCAACUAUACUCGACUUUGCUCGAAACCAUUAAUAGGGUAACCAACAUUUCAACUAUAUUUACAUGAUUCACAUAUCAAAGUUCAAUACAUAGCCAACUCAUUUCAUGCUCAACUCAAUUCAUACCAUGACACAUCAUCACUAUGUUUCAAUUUCAUAUAUGACCAAUAUGGCAAUCUUACAUAUCAAAUACAUAUCAGAUUUCAUGCUUUUUCUUAUCUUCCUUAUCUUCUGCAUGUCAUUUACAUAUGAGUUCAUAUUUUCAAUUUUACAUAUUCAUACCAAAUCAUCACAUUCAUAUCAUCAUUUAUACUAUAAUCACAUCUUUCAUCAAUUAACGAUUUCAAUUAAAUAUCAAAGUCAGAGGUAAAACUUACCUUUCAUGAGACAAAGCACCAAUGUUACCUUACUGAAUUUAAUAUUUAGUUAAACUAUGAAUUUAAACAAGUCAUGAAAGCACAAACCAUAUUAACUACCCAUUUAUGACUCUCGUCUUUUCUUUCUCUUGAGACGCCCUGAUAUUAUCUAAAAUAAUAUAAAAUAUUAUAUUAAUAAGAUUAAAAUUAAAAUAAAUAAAUAAUCUCUUGAAAAUAAAUAUUUAUUUUUAUCGAACAACAUUAUUAUAUUCUAUACUUAUAUUUACUAAUUUACCAAAUAAUUUUCUGACAUAAAUUCAUUUAGUAGAAAAUUUUUAAUACUUAAAUUUUCCCUUUAAUCAUGCCUUAAUUUGGAUAGUCGAGGUUGAGUGUUGGGUAAAAUAAAUUUUAAUUUGGAGCAGCUGAGUAGUACAAAUUACAUUUUGAAUAAAAAAUAAUAUUUUUAUUUAAAUUUAAUUAAAAAUAAAUAUAAAGACGUCCAUCAUCCAAGUCGUACCCAAAAAAAAAAAAAGUCCAAAUGAGCGCGUACCUGGAUUUACGGGAAUAAUUAUUCAAAAGAAAUAGAAUAAUUAACAAACUUGUCAUUUCCUAAAGUUGUUUAAAUUUAAUCAUCCCUAAAUAAUGGAGCAUCUUGCAAAUCGUGUUAACCCCGAAUCCAAUAUCAAAAUUCACAAUUUAUAACUCCUCCAAAAACCAUUUCUUACUUGUAUGUUUCACGUGGACCGUCAUUUUUUUGUCUAACAAUCAGACUCAGCUCUGAAAGUACUGCAGAUGUGCCCAUCAACACUUAUGGAAUGUAAAAAAAUGCCAUGAAUCUAAAAUCCCAAUUGGCCGUUUAUUAGAAUCCAUCUACCUACUUGCAAUAUGGACUCUGGAUAAACCCCUUACGGAAAAAGAUGGUAUUAUCAUUGACAUAAAAGAAAAGAAAGAAAGCAAAAGGAAGAGCAGGCUUUUCUCGAACCCAAAAACAUGGGAGAUUUGAUUGGAUAACAACUGCUCCUUGCCAGCGGACAUGAUAAAUGGCCAGAGUUGGAGUUUAAAGCACCCACUACAAAAUGUUGUCUGCAAGUAUUACGGAAUCUCAAAUAUAUAUGCCCAUUUCUCAUGAAAAUUUACUAUGGGGAAGAAGAUAUAACCAGGUUGGUAGGCGAUGAGAGAUAUGCAAACACAUGCAGCAAAGACAGAGAUAGGUAGAAAUCUUCAAACCAUACCAACCAACCAACAGUGAAACUACAAAAGGAUUUACUGCCGCUCUAUCUGAAUUGUUACGUGACUGAUAUUGUAUUCUCUCCUGAUGUAAUCUAUAACCUUGUUCAAUACCAUGUCAGCAUUAGCUUCACGCUUAAUUAAGACGUGGCAAGCUAAUAACACCUUACCAACAGUUAUGGCCCAAAUGUGCAGUUCAUGUAUGGCAACAACCUCGUCCAUCUCACAUAAACCCUUCUCCAGCCUCGUGGCAUCAAUUUCUCGGGGCGUGCUCUCCAUCAGAACUUCCAAAAUGUUUCGCAGCAUCCUGAUGGUUGUUGCCAAUACAAUAAUGGAGAAUACGAGGGUGCAUAUCAAAUCAAUUAUUUUCCACUCAGGUUUGUACCAAAUUAUUGCUCCACCAAUCAUCACUCCGAUGCUCUGAAUGGAAUCCCCUAGUACGUGAAGAUAAGCCCCUUGUAUAUUGAUGUUUCUUUCCUUCUUCUGAGAUGCUCCACUUUCUGGGUUCUUUUCACAAUCUGAGUAUGUCUUAAGAAGAGGCACCUGGUGGUCAGCUUCAGCUUCGUGAGCAUGAUGGUGCUCAUCAUGUAGUUUACUAUUCCCACCAUGAUUAUGGUGAAGGUGAUGGUGAGAAGUUAUACUUAAUCCAUGACUAUGUGGUUCAGUGUCAUGGCUAUGACUGUGACCAUGGUGGUCAUGAUCGUUCCCACCAUGGCCAUGGUGAUGCCCAUGAUCAUGACCCAGCAAGAUAGCCAUAGCUAUAUUAACCACUAAACCAAAUGCAGAAACCACGAACAUGAGAAAGCCUUGUACUUCCCCUGUAUCAUGGAUAAGUCUAGCUAUGGCUUCAUAAACAAGGAUGCCAGCUAGAAGCCAUAUCAUCUGGAUGGAAACAAGGGCACCAAGAAUUUCAAUCCUGAAGAAUCCAUAUGUUUGACGAGGAGUAGCCUCCCACCCUGAUGCCCAGAGAGAAAACAAGGAAAUUGCAAAUGCUGCAACAUCUGACAAGAGAUGAGCUGCAUCAGUUAAGAUUGCAAGACUGUUGGCUUUAAUUCCUCCGGCUACUUCAACACUCAUAAAGACAAUGCACAGCACUACUGCUGUUAACAAUUUCCGCAUAGAGGCUGCACGUUCGUUUGCAUCUUUAGAAAUGGUUUGAGCAUCAGAAAACCCACAUGCUGCGCCUCCACAAAUCGUAUUUCCACCUAGGCUUGUCUCUGCAGCUGGCACAUCUCCACGUAUUUCAAUUAUCUGCCCUUGUUCAGAAUUUUGCACUUCCAUCUGAAAACUGUAUAAACAACGAGUUGAGAAAUUUUUUAUUCACAAACUGUAGAACAAAAAAACAAAAUGAGGUCAAGUCAACAAAGUUAUCAAGAUUAGAAGGACUUUUAUCAACAAAAAAACAGCUUAUUUUCAAUAUCUCUCAUCAACCCCGGCAUUUCUCUUAGCCUUCUCCUUUGCCUCUCUUUCUCAUCAUAUGGUAUCUUUACCUAAUAAAAAUUUCACCAUGUUACCAACUUCUCAACCAAAAUCUGCCAAUAAACCAUAGAUAUCUUCAAUCCUUUAUUAUGAUUCGCAAGUGGUUUUAACGUAUGAAUUUCCAACACGCAUCUCAAAACAAUUUAUCUAAAAAAGUGGAAAAAAUUUGCAAUCCAGAACUACUGACAUCCUCAUCAGCAUCAAGUCAUAGUAAAUACAAAAGUAGGCAGGGAAAAUAGCAGAGAGACCACGAUAGGAGAGUGGCAUGUAGCAAUGCAGGAUAACUUUUUUCUUGGAGAUUAUUUUUAAGGACAGUGGCCUCCGUGCUUAUUUUCCUUUAAAAGUAUCCGAUUUGAUACACAUUGCAUUGAUAUUUCUCCUUUCACUUAAAAAGGACAGCGAUAUAUAUAUUUAGCCUUAAAACUCUUAUACUAAAACAGGGGACACACAAAAGAAGAGGAAUGAAAGGUUUUCUUUAUGCCCAAGAUUCAUGAAGACUAAAGAAUCAAAUACAAACUUAGCAGCAAAUAUCACAAUUGCAGCCCAUGUAUUGGAUCAGGAAAAGCGUCACACGUUUUAAUAUGUAUAUACAUAUAUAUUGAUACAUGUAUACAAGAUUGUAUCAGUUUUAAAUCUAGAGUCAAACAAAAAAAAAGGUAAUUCCAAAGGUGGUUAUUCAGAAUCAUUUUCAACGAAUAAACGGACUUAAAGGAAUCAGUGGAGUAAUAAAAUAAAAGAAAUAGAAUUACCUUCUGUAGUGGCUCUUCGUUCUCGCUUUUGAUUACUCCAGCCUUCUCCGAAGAAUAAAUCCCAAUUUCUUUUGCAUAUUACAGAGGUACGAUAAUGAUGAGAAUAAAAAAUAAGAAACCAGCAAAAAAAUAAAUUAUACAAUUAAAUAUUGGUGUUGUAAGAGAAACCCAUUUUCUGGAGAUUUAGAAAAACUUUUAAAAAGUAUAUAUAUUUUUCUUAUUUCUCAGGAUCUGGGAAAAGCAGAGAAAGAGAAGGAAAGAAAACCCAGAUUCCAGACAUAUUGAAUGGGAUAAGAACAAACUUUGAAAAAGAAUAAAUAAGAAAGAACGGAAAAAAGCACCUUUAAUUGAAGUAAUGGUGGCUCCACCAGAUUGAGAGGUUUGAUGCAGUAAAAGCAAGAGCAAAAAUAUAAAUAUUAGUGCUGCAUAACACGAGGAAAAAGCUUAUUUGACACAUAUGUUCUAAAAUAAUUAGACAAGAAUACUUAAGAACAGAAAAAGGGUUUUUUACAAUAAUAUUAUAAAUAAAAAUAAAAAUUUACCAAAAUAUUAUAACUUUUUUAUUUACCAAAAUAUAUAAAUUUUUUUAUUUACCAAAAUAUACAAAAACCAAAAAAAAACCUGCAAAAAAAAUCAGAUCGAUGUGACAAUUAACUGGUCACGCCAAUGGGAUUGGGGGCACCAAAGGUGCCAAAACCAUUGGCGGCACCAAUGGUGCCAAUGCCAUUGGCGGCACCAAUGGUGCCAUACUAAUUGGCGGCACCACUCGUAUUAUAAAUACGACCUCUGUCCAGCUGAAGAGAGAAAAAUCAAAAGAAAAAAAAAGAAGAAGAAGAGUUGGCGCGAAAAAGAAGAGAAAAAUAGGAGAAAAAGGAGUUAUUUUUUAAAAAAUAAUUGAUUAUAUUGUUGUUAUUAUUUUGUAAUAUUUUGUAAUAUUUUUUGUUUUAGUUUAGUUAUUAAGAUUAAUAAAACUCAAAAUAAUAGUAUUAGUUAGUAUUAUUAUUAUUGUUGUUGUUGUUGUUGUUGUUGGUAUUAAGAUGUUAUUAAUGUAUUAAGCUGUAACUUAGUAAUAUUAUUGUUAGCAGAAAACUAAUAUUAUUAUUAUGGUUACUUAUUAUUUUUAUUUACGAAAAUAAACUAGUUAGUAAAAAACUAGUAUUAUUAUUAUAGUUAGUUAGUUAGUUAUUAUUUUUAGUAAAAUUAAUAAUUUUAGUGUGUAUUAUUUUGAGUAUAAAAUUAUUAAUAUUAUUUUGAGUAUAAAAUUAAUAAUUUUAGUGUGUAUUAUUUUGUGUAUUAUUUUGAGUAUAAAUUUUUUUUUAAGUAAUUCAGUUACCGUUCGAGAUUUUUUAUGAGAUUUUUUUUUUUAUUUGACAGAUUAAAUAUUGAAGAUGGAUGCUAAGUUUCUUGUAUGCGUUUAUUUCGAUGGAGUCAUAUUGACAACAAGUGUUGGAUGUGUAUUUGAAUGUCGGCAACAAAUAGCAAUGAGAUUUAAUAGAAAUGUAUCGUUCGAUGAAAUGAAAGCAAUGAUUAAUGCAAAAAUCCAUAGACGUUGUGGGAGAAGGAUAUCAAAAAUUUUCUACAAGUUUCCAGUUUCGACAAAUCCGGUCAAAUUCGUCGAAAUGGAACUUGUAGACGACGAAGACGUGGAGACAAUGGUCGAUCUCUACUGUGGGAAUGGGAGUGAGAAGAAUGCACCGAUUCACUUAUUUGCUGAGUUAGUCGAUAUGGAGCAAAAUGCAUCUGAUGAAGAAGACGGGGCUGAAGAACCGCGGAUGGUGGCUCCAAUAUCAUACGUUGAUAGUGAAUCAACUAUGGGUGGGAUCAGUAUCGACCUGAAUAUUACAGCCGAUGUUGACAUGGUUGGUGGUGAAGAAAAAGGUGCCGGCGAAGAAGAAGGUGGUGGCGAUAUGAAGAGGUCGAUAGUGACGCUGAUCCCGAUGUGGAUGAUGUACCUGAUGAUAUUGACGCUGAAGAUGUCAACAACGAUGAAGGCAUUAACGCUUCUUCAGUCGGGGAGCAGAUGCGGCAUAUUGUGAUACACAAUAAUCCUGGGCCACACAUGUCGCUCAUAGACCCCGACACAGCUUAUGUAUCUGAGUUUCCGGAGUACCCUGAAAUAGGUCAUUCUCACGGGCUGGCCGUAACAUCUGAUGAUGAUGAGUUAUUCAUAGGCUAGAGAUUCAGUUGUAAAGAAGAGUGCGUAUAUGCCAUUAAACGGUACAGCAUGAAGAUAUCGGUGGAUUAUAAAGUCUCCGUCUCUACUCCGACAAUAUAUGUUGGGGAGUGUUGGAAGGCUGCGGAAGGCUGCAAUUGGCGGGUACGAGCUGCAUUCAUUAGAAGUUCUCAGAUGUGGGAAAUACGAAAAUUUGUUGGUCCUCAUAUAUGCACAUCAACACGUAUGACAGAAGAUCAUGGAAAACUUGAUUCGAAAACUAUUUGUACGUGUAUCAUGCCAAUGGUGAAGGAUAUGCCGACCAUUAGAGUUUCGAUACUCAUUGCGGAAAUGCAAGCACGAUUCCAGUAUCGAGUCUCAUAUCGGAAGGCAUGGGUAGCUAAACAGAUGGCGAUGGAGCAACUGUAUGGGGAUUACGAUUCGUCGUAUAACGAGCUUCAAGGUUGGAUAGCUGCUAUGCGGGAGUACGUACCGGGGACUAUGAUUGAGUUGCAGACAAGUCUAUAUUACGGCCCGGAUGAGCAGUUACAGCCGGCAAAAAGAAUUUUCCAUCGGAUGUUCUGGAUGUUCGAUCCAUGUGUGCGGGCAUUUCCCCACUGCAAGCCACUUGUGCAGGUGGAUGAGACCUGGUUGUAUGGAAAAUAUACACAGAUACUGCUUCUUGCAGUUGCGCAAGACAGUAACAGAAACGUGCUCCCGAUAGCAUUUGCUAUCGUAGGUAAAAAGAACAUGGAGUCUUGGGAAUUCUUCCUAACAAAUCUGCGGAAGUAUGUUAUUAGGAACGAUAACAUUUGCAUCAUCUCCGAUAGAGGGAAGGGUUUAAUUGCAGCUAUUAGGCGUUCCGGUGUGUCAUGGAGAUCCGUUUACUGCAUUCGUCACAUUGCGUCAAACUUCCAUAAAGAUUACAAGUAUGCAGACCGGAAGAGACAAGUCGUGGCAAUGGGUAAAUGAUAACCUUAUCUUUUCAAUCUAAGUUGUAAUGUUUGAUGUUAUGGACUUACUAGAACUUAUUUUUCGUUAAUACGUAUGCAGCGUACGAGUUAAAGCCACAUAUUUUCCGGAAAAGAAUGAACCGACUUGAGAGUGACAUAGAGGGGCAGACAAACACAUUUUUCCGGCAAUGGUUGCGCACAAUGGAGCCGUGGCAGUGUGCUCAAAGUUUUGACGAGGGCUUUCGUUAUGGCCACAUGACCACAAACUUAGACAAGGGGAUCGAUGCUAUCUUGUUGAAAACACGUCAUCUUCUGAUUGCAUCGGUAUUUUCUGCUACUUUCUACAGGUUGGCUACGUUGAUGCCAAGAAUGGGGGGGCAGCAAGUCGACCAGAUUCAGGCGGGACAUGUGUUUGUCGAACAUGUGAGGGAUGCAAUGGUCGUAAAUCGUCGGUUGGCAAGGUCAAUGAACGUGAAAAUAUAUUCACGACGACUGGAAACGUUUCAAGUUACUGGGAACAUCGGUCGUCGAACUAGGUCCUACGGAGUUGAUCUUCGGAACAGACGGUGCGAGUGCAUGAAGUUCGAAACACUUCAUUAUCCCUGUGCGCAUGUCGUGGCAGCGUGUGCUAAAGUCAACCUUGAUGCUAAACAAUAUGUCGAUGAUGUGUACACGCUGGAGCGCACAUUGCGUGUCUGGGAGAAUGAGUUCCCCGUCCUGCCGGACCUAUCUACGUGGGAGGUGCCGCCGAUCACUUUUGAGCUUCUCCCAGACGCAGGGCUACAGAGGAAUCCAAGGGGUCGUCCGCAGUCAAGCAGAAUCCGUAAUGAGAUGGACAUUAGGGAGAAAUCUGACAGAAAGCAUUGUGGAAUAUGUAGGUUAAGUGGUCAUAGCCGGAAUAAAUGUCCUAACCGAAACUUUCAUGUCAGGCAGUCGUCGGGAUCGAGGCGAAAUUGAGCUACUGACCCAAAAUUUUUAUGUAUAUUGUUAUAAAAGGUAAUUUUAAGAUUAUAUCGAUUUUUUUAUUCGGCUUAUGCUUACGCUUAAAUUGUAUCCAAAUUGUAACAUUACCAUUUAAAUGUUAAAAAAAACCAUGUGAGCGUUGUGGAAUUAUUAAGAUUAUAUCGAAAAUAGAGGCAUUCAUAAUUUGAUUGAGCUUUAAUAUAAUGAAAAAAGUCGUGGCAAUGGAUAUUUAUACAUAAAAUUCAGAAGUAAGCAAUACCUAAAAUACAAAUAUGGCAUUUAUGGAAAAAGUGCAUUAAACCCCUAAAUUUGAUGGUUCGAUGGUGUUGUCCGAGGGGUAUACCUAUGCGAAGGUCGACGCUCACGGCCUGGGCGACGACUAACAUCCUCAUCGUCCGCAGGUGGGGGCGUGGAAAACGUAGAGGAAAGGUCUUGUUGCUCGUUCGCCGCCGACGAACUUGAACCAUCAUGAGUCUUAUAAUGCUGCAGAUACGUGUCGGACAGGCCGGGCAUGCCGUACUGCGGCCAAGGGGAUCCAAACAGUUCAAAGUCGUAGGCGUAUUCGCCCUGUGCGAAGCUCGGAUAAUAUUCACCGCCCACCGAAUCCGGACGAUAGCCAUGUGAAUCCAUAUUUAACUGUGAUUGUCCGGGAUCUGGUUAGGGGUUCUGCUCGGGCUCUGCCUGUUGCGGAGAAUAAUAUGCCAUCGGCUCCGUAUCCAGCACGCUCGUUGCGUCCGAUCCCCAAACUUGUUGCACGUAGGGGGGAUUACAGUCGAUUGCGCUCCAAGUAAAUACGGCUUCCCGCAGCUAUGGCACCAUUGUGCAUACUCCAAUGAUGGUUGCAGGUCGGUAGCCAUAACCAUCUGAGGAAUUCGGCGCAAUCGAUCAUUCCACAGUGCGACGUAUUUCCGGUGAAAUAUUCCCCAGUCCAAUUGAACUCUUCCUCUCUUUGUCAAGCCGUGAUCAUCCCCCAAUUGGCACGGCGGAUCCGGGAUAGGUUGGAUGCACCCAAACUGCCGAAGCACCCGAUCACCGUGAUACUACUCGACGACGUUGAAAUUUAUUAUUAGUGUGUUAGUACACCAUAUGUGGGAAUCAACGAGUGCGGACGAGAGUACAACAUUCAAAAUUUUCGGCCUCCGAUACGGCAUCCAUAUAAACUGCAUAAGUAAUAACAUUGUAACGAGUUAGACCAAUAACAUGUGAGUAAGAUAUAGAAAUAGAAUAGAUGCCAUUAAUAAUAGAAUAGCAGCUUACCCCUUCCUGGGCAUGUUGUUCAAUCCUGAAGCGGUAUAUCGGGACAUCACUCGACUUCCCGAUGCCUAGACGGGUCCACCUACAAAAAUUAGUACAGGGUUUAGGGUUGGUAACAUUACCAUAUAUAUUAUUCGGGACAAAUAAUGACAAUUUGUAAUAUUUUUUUCACCUGAGUGCCAAUGGAUACAGAUAGGGUUGGUGAGUAACGCGUGCCAAAAACGGCAUCCGAUAAAGCGCCCAUAACUGCAGCAGUAUGAGGCAUCCGCCGAUGUCUUUAACUUGCGGCUCUGUCGUCCGACAAAGCUCCCGGUACAGAGUUGCUAGAACGGCAGAACCCCAGCUGUACGAUCUAGCAGUGGAGAAAUCAGCUAGCAGGGGCAAGUAUGACAAAUGCACACUGUCGCCGUUUGCAUCAGGCAUGAGUACUGCCCCUAUCAUAUGCAUGAUGUACGCUCGAGCAGCGCACAUCAGCUCACCUUCACUGGCGGUUGCUGAUAAUCCGCAUAUUUUGGCUUUUAGCCAUGUAAAUUUUAUGCCGGAAAAAUAUUUAUCACCAUCCUCUGGUGACUCUCCUAGGGGUUGAUAGCAAACUGUAGCCGGAUCGGUGAAUGAAGAUACUCCCGUUACGGGACUCCCGUCAAUUGGGAGUCCAAGCUGCACUGCAACAUCCUCCAAGGUCACCGUGCACUCCCCGCACGGAAAAUGGAAAGUAUGGGUCUCUGAACGUCACCGCUCCACUAGCGCAGAUAAUAAAUCAAACCGCAAGUCGGAGGACCGGAUCAAUGCUACUGACCCAAAUCCGGCUAGCUCCAGGUACGGCAUAAAUCGUGCAUCCGGAGCUAUCUUUAAAGCACUGACACGGCCCCUUAAUACUCGGAACGAGUCCUGAUAGUGUAAAAUUACAAAAAAAUAUUACGAUAACAUAAUUUAUUUGUAUAUACUGCGUAUAUCGUUUUUAAAUAAAUAGAACUCCUGAUUAACAAAUAAUAAAUCAUACCGCGUUAUUAGCCGCAUCAGAUAUGUGUCUAAUAUCGGUUCAUAUCAAUCGAGCCAUUGUGAUGCCUGCAAGUUGAAAAAAAAAGUUAGUAAAUAAAUCUUACUUCGGCCAUUUAUUCAUAUUUUUUUCUUCGCAUUUUAUUACUUUAAAAAAUAUUAUAAUUUCUAAUUUUAUAAUUUUACAUUAUUUCAGUGCAUAAUGUUUGAAAUUUAUUACUCUAGUGUGUUAUUUAAAUUAAUUUGGUGUAAAAAAUUAACCCUUACCCCUGCCCUUUGCUCGUAUUAUUUUCUCGAUUUUUAUUACUUUAAAUAAAAUUAUUUUAUUCUCGUAUUUUAUUGUUUUAUAUUAUUUCAGUACAUUUUCUUUGAAAUAUUUUGUAUUAAUUAUUUCUGAAUUUUAUAAAAGUUAGUAAUACACUCUUACUUCUGCCAUUUGUUCGUAUUUUUUUCUCCGCAUUUUAUUACUUUAAAAAAUAUCAUAAACUUAGUCUUUUAAAAUUUUACAUUAUUUCAGUGCAUCGUGUUUGAAAUUUAUUAAUUUAGUGUGUUAAGGGAGAAUAAAAGAAAAUAAUAAAUAAGUAGGGAUUAAAAGGUAAUUAGCCACAUAUUUGUGCCGCCUUUUUUUCCCCUCCAUCACCCUUUUUUUUUCCUCUAUUAUUUUGGUAAAUAAAGAAAAAGUUUAUAAAAUUUUGGUAUUUUUUUUGUAAUAUUUUGCUAAAAAAGCCGCAAUAAACCCUUUCCCCNNNNNNNNNNNNNNNNNNNNNNNNNNNNNNNNNNNNNNNNNNNNNNNNNNNNNNNNNNNNNNNNNNNNNNNNNNNNNNNNNNNNNNNNNNNNNNNNNNNNNNNNNNNNNNNNNNNNNNNNNNNNNNNNNNNNNNNNNNNNNNNNNNNNNNNNNNNNNNNNNNNNNNNNNNNNNNNNNNNNNNNNNNNNNNNNNNNNNNNNNNNNNNNNNNNNNNNNNNNNNNNNNNNNNNNNNNNNNNNNNNNNNNNNNNNNNNNNNNNNNNNNNNNNNNNNNNNNNNNNNNNNNNNNNNNNNNNNNNNNNNNNNNNNNNNNNNNNNNNNNNNNNNNNNNNNNNNNNNNNNNNNNNNNNNNNNNNNNNNNNNNNNNNNNNNNNNNNNNNNNNNNNNNNNNNNNNNNNNNNNNNNNNNNNNNNNNNNNNNNNNNNNNNNNNNNNNNNNNNNNNNNNNNNNNNNNNNNNNNNNNNNNNNNNNNNNNNNNNNNNNNNNNNNNNNNNNNNNNNNNNNNNNNNNNNNNNNNNNNNNNNNNNNNNNNNNNNNNNNNNNNNNNNNNNNNNNNNNNNNNNNNNNNNNNNNNNNNNNNNNNNNNNNNNNNNNNNNNNNNNNNNNNNNNNNNNNNNNNNNNNNNUUUCUUUCUCUUUUUCUCUUCUCCUUUCCCUUUCUUUCCUUCUUUUUCUUUCUUCCCUCUCAUUUCUUCCUUUCUUUCUCUCUUUCUUUCUUUCUUUCCUUCUCCUUCUGCCCCCCCACCACCGACCCCCCCUAUUAUUAACUGGUGCCGCCAAUCCCAUUGGCGUGACCAGUUAAUUGUCACAUCGAUCUGAUUUUUUUGGUUUUUUUAUAUAUUUUGGUAAAUAAAAAAAGUUAUAAUAUUUUGGUAAAUUUUUAUUUUUUUAUAAUAUUAUUGUAAAAAACCCACAGAAAAAAUAUAAAAAUUUCCUUCAUUUUCCACCCUAGGAUUUCGACUGACAAUUCAAUCCUUUUCCAUCCUUUUUCUCCAAGUCCUUUUUGGUAAUAUAAAGUGAAUAAUAAUAAUAAUAAUAAUAAUAAUAAUAAUAAUAAUAAUAAUAAUAAUAAUAAUAAUAAACUACCUCUUAGAUAUUAAAGAAUGAGUAAAUUUUUAUUUUGAUCACUUAAUUAAAAAAAUUAUAAUUUGGUUAUUAAAUUAUUUGAAAGUUUUUAUUUAAGUUACUAGACUGUUAAAAUUAAUGCUAUAUGGUUUUCUUUAUUCGCAUUGUCUACACUAAUCAAAAGACUUUUUUCCUUCUCUUCUACAGUUCAGUUUUUUUCAUGAAACAACUUUUGAUAUCACAAGUCUACAAACCAAAAUUCAAACAAUUUUCUUCUCCAAACUCCGACAUUGACCUUUAAAUCAACUUAGACCUAAGAUAUGUUCUUUUACUCAUUGAUGGGUACCAAUCCACCAAACUAAUUGUCGAAUCGUCACUUGGAAUUUAUAGUUAAAACUUAAAAAAAAAAAACUUAACAGCCUAGUAUUUUAAAUAAAAUUUUUGAAUAGUUUAUUGAUUUAAAUAAAAACUUUUGAAUAGUUUAAUGGCUUAAAUUGAAAAUUUUUAAAUAACCCAAUAGCGAAAUUAUAAUUUUUUAAAAUUAAAUAACCGAAAAUAAAAAAAAUUACCCGGUUAAUGAUGGAAAAAACUUGGAUUUGAAUUCGCUUUUAAAUUAGGCUUUUAGCCACCAAACUAUAACAUUUUCUUCAUUUAAGUAGUUAACACUUUUUUUUGGUUAAAAAUAAUACCUAAAUUAGCAAUUUGGUGUUACUUUUUCCAAAAAUAUAUGAUAUCCAAAACAUUUCAUUAUUCUUUUUUUAUUGAUUGAUAUCAUAUUUUGAUAUAAAAAUAUAUAUACUUAAAUGAAAAAUACGAUAUAAUUUGAAGGAAAAGUAUUCAAGCUCACGGUUUGAUAAAAUUUACACAUAUCUCUACGUUUUGGAAAAUAACCAUUAACCUCUUUAGGGCUUGGUAAAAAUCUACUAACCCUCUCUGUUAUUGUUCUAUUUAUUUUUGUUAUUUUUAAUUUUGAUAUUUGAUAUUUUCUAUUUAAAAUAAUAAAAAUUUAAUUAAUUAUAAAAUGUAUUUAUUAUUAAAUUAAAUUAUAAAUUGUAUUAUACUCUUUUAAUUUUUGUUUUUAGUAGUUUUUUAUAGUUAAUAUUUAAAUCUUAAUUUAUUUAUAAUAACUACCGGACAAUAGCCAAUUUCUCAACUUUAUGGGAUUUUCGAUAAUAUUUAUAAUAUAUUAGUAUGGUUCAACCAUGCUUCGUGUUGGGUUAAUUAUUUAUUUGUGCCAAAUUAUAAAGUAAAAAUCUGAAGAUUAAAAUAUACUCUAAGUAAGAUUUGUAGAACCAAUCAGUGGUUGAACUAGUCAGGCCACUAGUUCAUACAGUUUUGAUUAAAUAAAUCAUUAAAAAUUCGUAAAAAUAAUUUUAAAAAAUUGAUUCAACUAGUACGAACUGAUUCAUAGGUCAACCAAUCUGAUGCCUCUCUCUAGACUGACAUCCCACUCAAUUCUCGGUCCAGUAUGGUUCAAACAACCAUUACUCUAAGUCUAUAUAUACUUCAUACAUUUAGAAUUUAGUCUUACUACCUUUAUUUUCAAGAAUUUAAUCACUCUACUUUUUUUAUUUAAAAAUCUGCUUUCACAUUAUAUAUAACAUGCAACAUUUUAAUAAAAAAGUUAACGAUAUUAACUAUUUUAAUUAAUUAAUAAUAUUAUAUAAAUAAAGAGACCAAAUUAUAUUAGAAAAUAAAGUAUAAGAAUUAAAUAUUAAAUUUAAGCAUAAUAGAGAGACCAAAACUAAAAUUUAACCAUUUAUUUAUAAUGUAAAAAAAAAAACAUUUUGAACCACGUGUCUGUGUAGGAAGGACCUUCCUUUUAUAUAGAGUUAGGGUAAACUACAUUAGCAGUCAUCCAACUAUUAGUAAAUUGUUUUUUUUUUUGUCAUCCAACUAUGAAAAUUUACAAAAUGGUAAGUCUUUUUUAGUCACCCAAGUAUCUUGGAUUUUUUGGUGUUUUCAUUUUUAUGUUAGUCAGCUAGUGACCAAAAAAGACAAUAUUGAAUAGUUGAGUGACCAUUUUGUAACUUUUUAUAGUUUUGUGACCAUUUUGUAAUUUUUCAUAGUUAGGUGACCAAAAAAGAAAUUUACUUAUAAUUGAGUGACUACUAGUGUAGUUUCCCAUAGAGUUAUAUAGAUAUACAUGUAAUCCAUUCAAAAUGGUAACUUAACUAUUCAAUUUUGUCUUUUUUUAAUUAUCUAACUAUCUUGGAUUUUUGGAUGUUUUCAUUUUUAUGACCAAAAAAGGCAAAUUUAAAUAGUUGAGUAACUAUUUUGUAACUUUUCAUAAUUUAAUGACCAAAAAAGAAAUUUACUAAUAAUUAGUGACUAUUUUAUAAAUUUUCAUAAUUAAAUAGCCAAAAAAAAGUUUUACUAAUAAUUGAGAAAGUGUAGCUUACCCAUAGAGUUAUAUAAAUAUACAUAUAAUCAAUUCAAAUUUUAUUGUGACGUUGAUACGUUUUCUUUUAAGAUUUCUUGCAUUUUCUAUUUUACCAUUUAUCAUGUAAUUGAAAAUUUUUAUAAAUAACAAAUAAAUGCUAGAUAUAAUGGUAAGAUAUUGUAUUGUCAAGAGAAGACUUGGAUUCAAAUUUUGGAGACAAUAUUAUUAAAAAGUAUAAAUAUAAACUCUAAAAGAUUAAUAUUCAUAAAUCGUUUAAAAAUUUUAAAUCAAUAUAAAAUCUAAUCCGAUAAAAAUUUUCAAGUGAAAAGUUUUUAAAAUUAGAAAUUCAAAUUUUAAAGGGAAAAAUUCAAUGUAAAACCAAAUCUUUUCCAUGUUUAUUUAAUCAUUCUAACUUUUAUUUACAAAAAAAAAUGAUACAUUCCGAUAUAAAAUGAAAUAAUAUAAGUGAAAGUAUCAUAAAACCCCUUGAAUUGAGUGUUUAAUUAUAUAUUUUUUCUUUACUCAAAAAUUAGAUAAAAUAAUAAUUAAAAAUUCCAAAUUUAAAAAAUCAACGUAAGACCGAAUCUUUUCCAUAUUUAUUUUUCAUAACUUCCAUUUAAAAUAAAAAGGUAGAAUGAUGCAUGCCAAUAUAAAAUGAAAAUGUAGCUAAAAACAUCAUAAAUAUUUUUGUAUUAAGAGUUGAAUUACAUUUUGUCCUCCUUAUUCAUACAAUAGGCAAAAUAAUUUUGAAAAUUCCAAUUUUAAAAGGGAAAAAGGUAAUUUAAGAGAAAACCUUUUCCAUUUUUAUUUACUCUAACUUCUAUUUACAAAAAAUAAAGAAGGUAAAAUGACAUAUUCUGAUAUAAAAUGAACCAGUGGUAGGUAAAGGUAUUAUAGAGACCAUUAUAUUAGGAGCCGGAUUGUAUUUCAUUUCUUAGAUUAAAAAAGUGGAUAAAUAAUUUAUGUGGGUUAGAUUAAAGAGUAAACUGAUAUUUUUGUUGAAAAUUUUAUUGAUUUAUAAUGUUAAAAACUAACUUAUCAAUGUACUUUAAUAUGAGGUAUAUAGUACGUCAUAUAUAACUAUUUAAUUAUUCCGUCAUUAAUAUUAAUUUUUAACAAUAAAAAUAAAUAAAACAAAAAAUAGGCAAUGUAGGGUUAGAAUAGAAAUAUAAAAGAUGAUUAUCACGAGAAGAUAAAAUGAGAAAAUUGAAAGUGGUGGCUGCCCUGCAAAGUCCAAAGUGACGCCCAUCACUCGCACUCCCUCCUGCUCCUUUUCUUUUUCCACAUCUCCCACGUGUCCUUGCACAUUGCUUCUAUUUACACAUGUUUAGAUAAUAAUGGAUUUCAUUCGAUUCAGUAUAAUAUCAAAAUCCAUAGGGCAGUUAAAAUGCUAAUUCCAGCGUCCAACAUGUUUGAAAAGAUAAUGGUGGAAAUGUAAAAGGAAUUACAAGUUUCACACCUACAAACUGAGGUAUGGUGAUUUAUGUAUUGGUUGUUUUAAGAUAUACGUAAUAGAUCUGGUUGGAUUUUGUUUGUUUCGGCCUAGAGACAAGCUCCCCCAAAUUGGGCAUCAACAUCUGGAAAAGAUUAACCAACACCACACUCCUUCCCCCCAAAAUAGCAAAAUUGUAUCAAUAAAACAAUAGAUUUUCAAUAUGAAUGUAAAUCCCUCAGAAAUCUAGCUCAAGGAAUGAUGACAUAUAACAUCACUGCUACUAUAGAAAAUGUUUCUGUGCAGUGACUUCAAUGUCAAAGAACUCAAAUGUUUUAAUUGUUUUAUCCCUCCAUGACUGAUUUCAAUUUGCAGAUCAUAAACAGUCACUAUUGUUCUACCAAUUGUGUUAUCUAUGAAUGAAUACCAUCACUAUUUGACUUCCCAAGAUACUCCACCUCCGCAAUCAUACUUACCACCUUCCUAUACAUGUUUAAGUUUCCACACCAUUCAUAAUAACCUCCUCAAUCAGAAAAACUGACAACAAGAGCUUAAAUUCAAGCAUGACACAAUGCUAAAUUAGAAAACAUGGAAUCACCCCUCAUAUCAAACAAGAAGUUUGAUAAUUCAUUAGUGAGUGGUGCCAAAAAAGUAUACCUACUGCCCAGGGAUUUAAAUUGCGGUUGCGACUACGUUUUCGGUUGCAUUGCAUUUAUCGUGGUUGCGGACAUAAUGGAUACUAUUGCGGUUACUGUGGGUAUCGCGAUCGUGAAUUUUUUUAAAAAUUCAUAAACUUAUUGUAAAAUAUAAUAAUUAUAAUUAUAAUUAUUAUCACUUUUAAUGAUUUUUAGAGCGUUUUCUAACACUUAUGAACUUUUAUUAAUAUGAGAACACAAUUUUUAUAAUCAUUAAUUUUUCUUAUAUUUAUUUACAAAUUUUCUAAGAAUUUUAUAUUAACUAAUAACAAAGUAAAAAAAAAAGAAAUAUUAAACAUUCAUCAUAUUUAAUAAGUUUGAAAGUUUUUAUAGAUAAAUAAUUGAAAAUUCAUACAUGAGAGAGAUCUUCAAUAUUUUUUAACAGAUUUGAAGAUGCUGAAGAUAACAAAUCAUUCUAUGCUGAAAAAGGAAAAGAUGAAUGUAUAGAUUCUCAUUAAUUAUUCCUAUUUCCUACCACUUAUUCUCACUCUCAUUCUACUUUCAUAUAUAGUUUAACAUGCUUCGAUUCUUAAUUAUCUUUUCAUAAAAUAUAUUACAUUCAUUUAUCUAAAGAUGUAUUUUAAAUGUCUUAAUAUCAUUAAAAUUAAAAACAUUAACAAAAGUUUUCUUUAAAAAAAAUACCUUACAGAUAGUGGUAGUGGUACGAUUUAGUUUUCACCAAUUAGUGGAAUGAUGAGGAGGAUUAGAUCCUUCACCUUCACUUUGAGAGCGUUCUUGACUUGAUUCUCUUAGCCUUUGUCCAAAAAUAUAAAAAAAAAAAAACAUUUUCACCUUGGUUUUCAUAUAAUUGAUAUGGAGGAUAUAUUUGAGGAGGAAGAUAUAUGAGAGGUGGAGGUGGGUGAUACAUUGGUGGUGGUGGAUGCAUUUGAGGCUAGUAUGACACACCAUAAUUAGGAAAUGGUGGAUAAUAACCAUAUGGUUGUGGAUAACCAUGUGAAGGUUGAAAAUAUGGAGGUUGUUCUGGUGGAUAAAAACCUUAAGUGCUAAUAGAUGAAUCACUAUACCCAAGGUUACUAGAAUUCAAUCUCCUACCAGAUGAAGAGCCUAUAGAAGUAUGCUUCUUGUCUUUUCCUUUUGAUGGAGCUUUAGGUUCACUUCUAUCUCUCCUAGGUUCAGGAAACAUAUUUCCAUCAAAUUCUGAUCUAUCACGGAAAUGUCCACUAGUGGUACCAACCCCAUAUUCUCCUCUAUACCGACUAGAAGACCUAAUUUCACCUCUAUCUCUACUAUAUCCAUCAUCAUCAUCAAUUGAACUUAAACCACCACCAUCGGGUCCAUCGCCAUUCUAACUUGGAGUUGCACUAGAACUUGAAUGAGAUAAAUUUUUUUCUUGAGAUUGAUCAACAUUCAUUUCAUCAUCAGAGGUAUCCACAAGCAACACAGCGACAUUUUCACCAUCUAACAACAGAUUCUCUUUCUCAUGAAGCCAUUCUGAUAGUGGAUCAACAUCUUCAAAGAUAUGAAGGCUGAUAGGAUUAAAACUAGCUUUUAUAUCAUCAAUGCUCAUUAUUUUUUGAUGCAUUAUCUGAAGCCUCAUAUUAUAAUAGGUAAACACUAGUUUCUUAAGUUUUUUAUACUUCAACAUAUUUCUUGCCUUGGUGUGAAUAUAACUAAAUGUGCUCCAAUUUCGUUCGCAAUUUGAUGCAGAAGUUAUUUGACUAAGCACUUUAAUUGCUAAUUUUUGUAACUCAGGAACACAUGUGCCGUAUAUUAUCCACCACUCAACUACAUAAUAUUAUUUAAAUUUCAAAAUAACUUUGAAAUGUACAAUAUAAUUAAAUAAUAUAAAUUAGAUUAAAUAAUUUAAUUAACUAUUUACCCGGAUUCAUUUGCUUCCAAGCUCUUUGGGCUUGUGGAGUACCGAAUGUCUCAUGUUUAUCUCUAAAUAGUAACAACUGCAUAAAUAAAAGAUAAAGUAAAAAAAAAAUUCUAUUUCAAAUUAUGUAACUAAGUUACAAAUAAUAGUACUUGAAUCUAACUUGAUUAACCAUUCUGACUUGAGUAUCAAGAGAAGGUUCUAAUCUUUCAAUUACUGAUCUUGUACCUUCUAAUGUUUCUAUUAGUACAUUCUCAGAAUGCUCCACCCCAAAUUGAAAUUGAGGAUUGAAAAAAUAACCUAAGCAUAAUUUAUAAGAAUAUCAUCAAAUAAUAUUCUAAAGCUUAAAAUAAUAAAAUAUAAAAAUAGUUCUUAGUUAUAUGAAACAUUUUAUCUUACCAGCUGAAUGUAAACUGAAAUGCAUAAAAUUCCAUCUAUUGUCAAUAAUAUUUUCGUACUCGGUGAAAUAUCGACAAUCUUGUUGAAUUGCUCAUUUAGCUCUAUCAACAACCUCAUAAAUAAAGUCCAUUGUUGGUUUUUCAUCACCAUCCACAAGUCUCAAUUCUUUUACUAGGGGCUCGUAAACUUUUAUGAGGUCGUUGGCUUUUUUCCAAAAAUAUUUUCCCAAAACAAUUUUUUUGGCUUCAUAAGCAAGCUCUGACUUUUACUGUCCCCAUUUUGAUUCUUUAAAUUCCUAUAUAUUCAUAAGAAAAUUUUAAUUCACGCUUAGUGCACUUUGUGCAGAAGUGUUUUGGGAUUCAAAGUUUAAUUCAUAUGCCUAAAAAUAGAAUAAAUUUACGGACAAGAAAGUAAAAUCAGAUUUCACAGAAACGAGAUAAAAAGAACUAAAUUUACAGAAAUCAGUGUGGUCACUAUUAAGUAAUCUACGAUGAAAAUAAAAAAAAUAAGGGGGUUUAAUUAGUCUGAAAGAAAGAAAAUAAAUUUAAAUAAGAGAAAAUAGAAUGAUGUGUUGGAAAAUAAUUAUUGAGUGAUGAAUGAUAAAUUGAUACUCAAAUUAAACAAUUGUAUCUCUUGGUUUAAUAUUGUAUUUUUUUCAUACAGUUGUAUCUUUUGAAAAAAUGUAUCUCUUGGUUUAAUAUUGAAUUUUUUUCAUUUAUUGUCUCUAUUCACUCAUAUCUAUUAAUUUUUCAACAAAUCUCUUCAUUCUUUUCCUCUCCUCUAUAUAAAGUCAAGUUAGGAGAUUUCAAAAACGUAUCAUCAAAAAACUAUCAAUAUUUUAAAUUCCUUAUAAAUUCAUUUCUCCUGGUAAUAGAGAAAGGCAAGAGUGCUCAAUUGAUUAUUGUUGUUGUGCUACUACUGUGAUUUUUGGUUGUUGUAUCCUGGGAGACAGACGUCCAACAUUACUCAAAGCACCGAGGAGAGGUCGAAUUUGUCUUAAGGAAACUGUUUAUACAGGCCUCAACAAAAUUCUUCUUCUAAUUUUUAACUUUGUCCAAUUACAAGUAUUCUAUUAUGUUACUACUACUACAUUGUAUUGCAUUAUUAUUUUUAUUAACAUAUUAAUACUACAUAUGAUAUCAAAUUUUCUUACAAUCUUAAGACAGAUUAAUUGUUGUAAUUUUAAUCUAAAGCGUACAGAUUACCAUCAUAACUUAUUUAAGAUUGGUUUAUACUUCUGUUUUGGAUUUUAAUUUAUUUAUAAAUUCUAGUUCUUUAUUCCGAUUAUAAAAAAAUGUCUCACACGUCAAACAACUCAUCCAAUUUAAAGGCUGAGGCAAUUGUCGUUGCUCAAGUUCAGGAUGCAAGCCAAACGUUACCUGUGGCUAUGAGUCACAAUGAAAAGCCUGCGAAAUUCACUAGAGAGAAUUUUAAAACAUGGCAACAGAAAAUGUUGUUCUAUUUGACCAUGUUGAAUAUGACAAAAUUUUUGAAGGAUGAUCCUUCUAUUUUUAGAGAGGAUGAGGAAGAUGCUAUUACCGCCUUCAACAUUGUCGAAGCACGGAACAACUUUGAUUUCCUAUGUCGUAACUAUAUUUUGAACAGUUUAUCUGAUGAACUUUACGAAGUAUACAGUAUUAAGAAAACGACUAAGGAAUUAUGGGAAUCGCUGGACCAUAAAUACAAAACUGAAGAUGUUAGUGCUAAUAAAUUCUUAGUUAAAGUUCUUAAACUUUGUAAUGGUUGAUUCUAAAGCUGUUGUAAAUCAGGUGCAGAAAUUCCAACUAAUCAUUCAUGGUAUUCUCGUAGAAGGGAUGGAGAUAAGUGAAUCCCUUUAGGUGGCAACCAUUAUUGAAAAACUUCCCCCUGUUUGGAAUGACUUCAAGAACUAUCUUAAGCAUAAGAGAAAAGAAAUGACGGUGGAAGAUCUGAUUGUCAGACUUCGAAUUGAAGAAGACAAUCGAGGUGCGACUAAAAGGCUAAAAAAAGCAACCAAUCCUAACAUUACCAAAGUAAACGUAGUGGAAGUCAAUGAGGACUCCAAGAAAAGAAAACAUUCUCAGACUGGGUCUAGACUAGGACUAAAAGGCGGUGUUUUCAAGAAACCAAAAUUCUAAGGAAAAUGCUUUAAUUGUAAUAAGAUGGGGCACAAGUCAUCUGGUUGUAGGCUUCUAAAGAGGGUCAGAACAAACGAGGCCAACGCUGUGGAAAAUAUUUCUAAAGAAGUAUCUGAUCUUAACCUUUAUGUUGUGAUUUCUAAAGUCAACUUGGUUGAUUUAAAUCAAGAGAAUGGUGGCUUGAUACUGGUGCCACACAUCAUAUUUGCUGUGACAAGGACUCUUUUGUUGAGUUGGUUCCUUGUGAGAAAUGGGAGAAACUCUAUAUGGGCAAUGCCACAACUUCCAAGAUUAAGGGGAAAGGCACUGUAAUUUUGAAGUUUUGGCAAAUAGUUGAAACUUUAAAAUGUGUCGUAUGUGCUCGACAUAUGCAAGAAUCUUAUCUCUGGGACCCUCCUAAGUAUGCAUAGCUUUAAGAUGAUAUUUGAAUCCCAAAAGUCAGUUUUGUCAAAAGGGGGAACAUUUGUGAGAAGGGGAAAUGUAUUAAAUGAUAUGUGGAAACUCAAUGCUAUAUCUGUAAAAGCUAAUAGUAUGAAUAAGAAUAAUGAUUCUUCUUUUGUUUAUAUGUUUGAGUUAUUUGAUUUAUGGAACGGUUGACUCGGACAUGUUAAUUCUAAUACUUUACAUAGACUAAUUAACUUAGAGCACAUUCCUUUAUUUCACAUUAAUCAUAAUCAUAAAUGUGAAACAUAUGUUGAGGCAAAACUAACAAGGCCUUCUUUUCAAUCUAUUGAAAGAAAUACUGAAUCACUUGAUCUAAUACAUAGUGAUAUUUGUGACUUAAAUUUUUUUCAAACUAGAGGAGUGAAUAAAUAUUUUAUUACAUUCAUUGAUGAUAGCACAAAAUAUUGCUAUGUAUAUUUGCUUAAAAACAAAGAUAAAACUGUAGAGAAAUUUGUUCUCUAUAAGUAGUGUAAUAGCCUAAAUUUGCCCGGCCCACAUACAUUUCAAAAAUAAAUAAAUAAAUAAAUAAGGUCCAAAUGUCCAUUACAUUGACCCAAUUUAAAAAAACCCGAAAUUACAUACCCAAAGUCCAAUUAACAAAAACCCAAUACCUAAAGCCUGACACGGCCCAACCUAGCCCAAAACAUUCCCUAAACACAAACCCUAGCAGCAAUGGCUCACAGCGCAGCAGCAGCAGCACCUCUCAGCCUUCCCUCGCAUGUGCGCCGCCGCCAUGUGCCACGCCUCCACGUCCACUGCUCCGUACGGCCGUACCUGCAACAAACAGAGGCAGACAAAACAACAACAGCAAGAAAAUACAGGGAUAGGAGAUUUUUUCUGUAAUUUUCUAUUUUAUUUUUCUGUCGUUUCUCGGCUAUAAGGCCAUCUUCAAGAAUUUGUAAACGGGGAAUAUCAACACAGACGCGCAUAUUGUAUAGAAAAAAAAUAUUCAAAGAAAUAAAAAAAAAACAGAGGUUUCGAAAAGUGAUCGGAGUUUUUCUUCUGACUAUUCCUUUUUCAAUUUUUUUAAUGUUUAGAUUGCUGUUUUAAAAAAGGGGAAAACCAUUUCAAAAGGAAAGGAAUGAAAAUAUCGCAGUGAGUUUUAGGUUUUUUCUUCUUUCGAUUUCACUAUUUCCCUUUUAUUAUUUUAUUGUUUAUUCGUCAAAAAAUGAUUUAGAAGACAGAAGAUUACCUGAAAUACUAAGUCUCCGCUUGCUCCGUCGUGAUCGGAACCCUGGGGAGGUUCGCGAAGCCUCAAAACAACCCGAAUGUCCGAGCGGCGCAUGCAGGAGGAGAUGGUUUAGGUUUUUUUAGUUUGAUUUGUGAAUGGAGACGGCGGGGUAGCAUUUAGGUUUUUUU
This 43235-nucleotide long non-coding RNA is filed under the name Gossypium raimondii (Peruvian cotton). RNAcentral's name for it is "long non-coding RNA (GRAI_LNC002936)". The record is from RNAcentral. Lineage: Eukaryota; Viridiplantae; Streptophyta; Magnoliopsida; Malvales; Malvaceae.